Molecule: transfer RNA, 105 nt
Filed under: Halorientalis persicus
Lineage: Archaea; Methanobacteriati; Methanobacteriota; Halobacteria; Halobacteriales; Haloarculaceae
Description: tRNA_Ala_CGC
Rfam family: tRNA
About the family: Transfer RNA (tRNA) molecules are approximately 80 nucleotides in length. Their secondary structure includes four short double-helical elements and three loops (D, anti-codon, and T loops).
Source: RNAcentral
GGAAGGGUGGCUCAGUGGUAGAGCGCCGAUGGUUGGACAUGCCAGAAAUCCAGCUGUCGGUCACCCCGCAAUGGGCUUCGCGUGGUUCAAAUCCCGCCCCUUCCG